UCAAAGCUUCUCGACGUCAUGAAUCUAGAGUCUAAUGUUACCUCUUCCACCCUGAGAAAUUUCUUUUCCCGUGAGUACUUGGAUACACCUCUCUUUCGUAUCCGGACUCCUCUUCGUAAUGAGAUGAUCGUCCUUCCCGAUCCUCCUCCUCCUGAUCUAAUCGACCCUCAAAAUGGCCAUAGUUUAGUUUUCUUUGUCAAACAGCGCGAGUACGGCCUAACUUUCCCCUUUUUACCCUUCUUUGUCGAAGUCUUCCGGUAUUUCAGAAUAACCCUUCGGAUGCUUGCUCCUAACUUGAUUCUCUUUAUGUGUUCCUUUGAGUCCAUCAAUCUGAGCUGGGGUAUCGC
Molecule: long non-coding RNA, 347 nt
Filed under: Manihot esculenta (cassava)
Lineage: Eukaryota; Viridiplantae; Streptophyta; Magnoliopsida; Malpighiales; Euphorbiaceae
Description: long non-coding RNA (MESC_LNC001925)
Source: RNAcentral